GACGAACGCUGGCGGCGUGCUUAACACAUGCAAGUCGAACGGAAAGGCCCUGCUUUUGUGGGGUGCUCGAGUGGCGAACGGGUGAGUAACACGUGAGUAACCUGCCCUUUACUUUGGGAUAACUUCAGGAAACUGGGGCUAAUACCGGAUAGGAGCUCCUGCUGCAUGGUGGUGGUUGGAAAGUUUCGGCGGUUGGGGAUGGACUCGCGGCUUAUCAGCUUGUUGGUGGGGUAGUGGCUUACCAAGGCUUUGACGGGUAGCCGGCCUGAGAGGGUGACCGGCCACAUUGGGACUGAGAUACGGCCCAGACUCCUACGGGAGGCAGCAGUGGGGAAUAUUGCACAAUGGGCGGAAGCCUGAUGCAGCAACGCCGCGUGCGGGAUGACGGCCUUCGGGUUGUAAAACGCUUUCGCCUGUGACGAAGCGUGAGUGACGGUAAUGGGUAAAGAAGCACCGGCUAACUACGUG
Molecule: ribosomal RNA, 468 nt
Filed under: uncultured bacterium
Lineage: Bacteria
Description: partial 16S ribosomal RNA
Rfam family: Bacterial small subunit ribosomal RNA
Source: RNAcentral